Molecule: long non-coding RNA, 811 nt
Organism: Lycium barbarum (goji berry)
Lineage: Eukaryota; Viridiplantae; Streptophyta; Magnoliopsida; Solanales; Solanaceae
Exons: 3
Source: RefSeq, a predicted model, not a curated record
GGAAAAAGGAUAGUGUAUAUUACUUUUCUCAAGCCUUGUAGGUCCGUUUAUUUUAAGCAUUAAUUGCUUGCCUCCUCUCUCUGUCGUUGAACAACCAAGAAAAGGGAAAAUCCCUACCGCUCUCUCUCUCUCUCUCCUAUUUUUGCUUUUUCUGAUUCAGCAUCCAUUUCCUCUCGAUUUUCAUUAGUUUUCAACAAAUUGCGCGGAUUCCAAAGGAAUUCUUUCAAAGCUGAAAGUCCGACAUCAAACUACAACAAGAAAUUGUGGUUUUGGGGGCUCUCUAUAAAGAACCCCAUCCUGUACUAUCACACACACAAGAGCUUUCACAAGCAAAAAACGUAGAAUUUUAAGUUUGUGACAAAGUGAUCCGACUAUAAUUGGAAUACUCUCUAAUUUUAGGAUCUAGUUUAAAAUUUUCUCUUUGUUUUGUGGCUGAGUAUGAGUGUGGAGGAAGAUCAAGGUCUCCACGUCCAUUCUCGACCAAAGGCUGCACAAGAGAAAGUUUUUCGACGAAACGGGAAGUGAGUUUGGAAAGGCUUAAGGAGCGCGAAAGGUACUGACGACAGGUUCGCUGAUCCACACGUUUAGGAUCCUAUUUCUGCUAUUUGGGGCGCUCUCUUCUACAGAGCCCAUCUUUUGGUACAGUCUGUCACUGCUAUCUGGAUAUGUACUUUGUUCAGGGUAUGACGGGGCCCUGUCCCAUCUUAUGAUUAUGAUAUGUUCUGUAGAGGUCUGUGGAUACAUCUGUGUGGGUUCUGUACAUAUGUUUGGGAUAUUCUGUUCUGUGAUGGCCUUAUCGGCCUAUGUGUGC